RNAcentral lists this ribosomal RNA (253 nucleotides) under uncultured bacterium. RNAcentral's name for it is "partial 16S ribosomal RNA". It matches the Rfam family "Bacterial small subunit ribosomal RNA", at positions 524 to 776 of the family's 1533-position model. The record is from RNAcentral.
UACGGAGGGUGCAAGCGUUGUUCGGAAUCACUGGGCGUAAAGCGCGUGUAGGCGGACUAGUAAGUCUGAUGUGAAAGCCCGGGGCUUACCCCCGGAAUUGCAUUGGAUACUGGGUAGCUUGAGUACCGGAGAGGAAGGUGGAAUUCCUAGUGUAGAGGUGAAAUGCGUAGAUAUCAGGAGGAACACCAGUGGCGAAGGCGGCUUUCUGGAUGGAUACUGACGCUCAUGUGCGAAAGCGUGGGGAGCAAACACG